AGGCUUAGUUCUACACACUUACAAUUUCUAAAAUUUUGAUCAACCCUUUAUCCCUACUGAAUUAUUUUAUAUCCUUAUAAAAGUAAUAAUGCUAGAACUAGUAACAAGAAACUGCCCAUUCUCCUAAAUGCAAGCAUAAACCAGAAUAGACACCCUACUGGUAAUCAACGUAAAUGUCACUUUUAUAGUAACAUAGUAGAAAAUCCUAUAAUCCCCUUACGUUAACCUUACACUAGAGCAUUUCAGGAAAGAUUAAAAGAGAAAGAAGGAACUCGGCAAACUUCAGCCUCGCCUGUUUACCAAAAACAUCGCCUCUUGAAAAAAUAUAAGAGGUCCAGCCUGCCCAGUGACUAAGUUUAACGGCCGCGGUACC
Molecule: ribosomal RNA, 373 nt
Filed under: Lithobates pipiens (northern leopard frog)
Lineage: Eukaryota; Metazoa; Chordata; Amphibia; Anura; Ranidae
Description: Rana pipiens (northern leopard frog) partial 16S ribosomal RNA
Source: RNAcentral